AUUUGUAAAAAAGAAUUUAAAAAUUCAGAAUAAUAGAGUAGUAAUUAAAUAAAUUAUAAUGUGCUACUGACUCACCAGAAGUUAUGUUUGUGGAGUCUUUAAUGACAUGGAGUCAAAGAUUAUAAUCAAAUGCCAAUUAAAUGAAAUAUGUGAUUUCAAUCUGGUAAAUAUGUGUGUGUGUGUGUGUGCGCGUGUGUGUGUGUACUUCCUCCGUUUGAAGGUACAUGUUUUUAUGUUUUACUGCUUCUUAAACUAAGAUGAAUCACACAAUAUAAUUCCUUUCUCUACUCAAAAAGCUGUUUUUACAUUGAUGCCUUAUCUCACAAGGAAUUGCAUCUUGGAAUCAAGGAAAGACUGUCCAUGUGCCUUAAAAAGAUAUUUCUUAUAUAAGUAGAAAAGAAAUUAUGUUUUAAAAGGAAAAGCCCCUUGUGGCAUACCUUUCAAGGCUGCUUCUCACUUUGGUCUUUAAAGAGCCUGUCUUAGAGGAGUUCCUCUGUGCCAUGUUUAUGGUUAUGUGUCCACUACCUGAUCGUCUAUUUACGUUACUAAAGAGGAAAUGAAGCCCACUUGGAGUGGAUUUUUAUUACGAACACACACUAGACCCUAGUGAAUAGUGAAUACACACUAUGAUCAACAUUUUAUUUGUAAGGUCAACGGACUGCCUGUUUAAUCAUCCUUUCUGGAAUUUUGCGAGAUAACAACAUCAAGUCUACUUAUUUACUGUUUCUAGAACCUGCUUCCAAACCCCGUAUUGCCUGUAUUUUCACUUCUGAAAAUCCAGAAUGUGUCUGUUUUGUUCCAGUCUCCUGACUUAUGUCAGGGUCCGUUGAUUCCAUGACUACCCCAAGUCACCUCACAAUCAUGCCUCCGAGGCCCCUUAGAAUCCUGGGGCACAGGUCCUCUGGAAACGGAGGGUAGGAUUCAUUCAAGUAGCCCGUUCUUUCUGGAAAUUCGUGUACCCUUUUAACCCAUGCUGGACUUUUUAAGUUUUGAAGAUCUGCAAAUUCUUUGACACUUCUACACUAAAAAGGUGGCGUUUACUUACCUUCCCCUUAAACACCGGCCGGACUCAGUGACUCGAUUCUGCUGAAUAGGGUGAGGAAGAAGAAGCCCUCGGACACUUCUGCGGCUGGGUGGGGAACAGCGACACGGCCUCCAAAUGACUCUGUAUCUUAGGAGAUGUGCCUUUGGGGAGCCUGAGCUGCCCUGUAAGAAAUCCAGAUACCCUACAGUUGCCAUGAUGCAGAGGGCAAGUGGAGACACCAUCUGGAGGAGCCCCUGUGGUGCUGGCCACCAGCUGUGUGCACCCUAAUAGCUAAAGCAAGGGCUGUUUCACGCCAGCUUAAGAGCUAUGAAUUUGGAACUUCAGGACUCAAAGCCCUUCAGAGCUACCAAGAAUGUCAUUUCAUUCACUGCCUGGCUGUAGAGAAAGAGUGACGGGGACGGAGCGGGGCUGCCAAGUGCCUCUGGGAGCCGAUUAGUAGGGGACUGGAGUGCCCUGGCUCCCCGGAUACAAAUGGAACGUAGUUACAGGGCCAAGCCAUGUAGGCCUUUAACGGAGAUAGCAUAUCAGCUUUCCCAUGACCCAGAACACAUGGGGACUUGGAGAUGACACUAUGCUCCACCUUGGUCAAGCCUCUGAGAUUCUGAAGCAGGAACAGUUAGAUACAACAAAACUUAAAAGGACGGAAUCUCUUAUUAUCAGAGCUUUGAGUUUUGUUACAGGAGCUGUGUUCUUUGGCCUGACCAGAAGGAAAUUCACUCUCCUUUUCAGAUGGAUAAGGUGCAGGGGUCUUUGGGUACCCCAGGUGGAUGGAAACAACCCCCAGCCAAAGGCUGUCAGAAAAGAAGUUUAGGUAAUAUUGCCCAGCUCAAUAACCAGUCUGGAAGAGGGCAUCAAGCAGGCCACUCAGGUUUCAGUUGAAGACCUACCUAAAAUACUCUGAAUUGGUUCAGCACAAGUCUUUCUAGUCCCUUCUCAAAGGCAGGAAAUGAUGACAUUUGACACGGGGGUACCUAAAGACACAGGCAACAGGGGCCAAACCAAGAGUGGACCUUGACCCCAUCACCUGGGCUGAUGUCUUCACUGAAACCCUCCAGACUUCAUGGUCUAUCACUUACCCUUGUGGCGAUAAUGAAGGAUAGACAGGAUCAGGGUCACACACUGAAAUGAGCUGUUGAAAUUUUCAAUGGCAACAGCAGAUUCUGAACUUGUGAUUCUCAGCCUGCGAGUGGUCCAGGUGUUGGUCUGUUGGAAGCAGACAGGCACAUUUCAUGCAGAGAUGAGCUCCACUGUUUUGUUUUGUUUUUUUUAUCAUCUAGUAUUACUGACACUUCUGUCUGUUAUAGAUAAAAUCCUAAUUAAAAUCAGAAAAACCAAAGAAGUCACUCUAAUGGGAAGACACGUGUCUUGGCUCUGCCACUAAUUAGUUUUGUGAUUUUGGCAGAUUCUUCAACUUCUUUGGGACUCAGUUUCCUAGUUUUCAAAGUGAGAGAAAACUCCUCAUUUCUAAGAGAGCCUACCCCGUCAGUCACUGAAGAGCCAUCACAGUAUCUAUGUGUGAUGAUCAUUAUCUGUGAUGAUAACCCUGUGAGGUUCUGGUUACUUGGACUUCUGUGGUGGUUUCAGUUUGAUCUCUCCUGGAGUAACAGCUGGCCAUUACUUCAUACUGCUGCAACGAAAAAUUCUAAGGCGCGCUUUGUGGAAGAGAAAUAAAGGGGAUCUGGUCUUUGAAGAUGUGGAAUAUGGUAACUACCUUGCCAGUAAACCAUGCUAUCGCCGUGGAAGACUCUGAAGGAGGACAAGCCCUGAGUUUCCUGGUUAUGUGUGAUUCACACCAGAUAAUCAAAAGACUGAGAGAGAAUGUUCUUCUGGAUGGAUAGAAGAGUUUGAUUUGUCAAUGGAUCCCAAGGUACAACUUGAAGAAGAGAAAAAUUAUUUUCUCAAAAAUCUUAAAAAUCACAGAUUUCUGAUCUAAUUGGCAGCACUUCCUAGCUUUAAAGGUUGAAUUUAUCUGAGCAAAAUGACUUGGGGCAAUUUGUGUAAUUACUUCACAGUUAUCUGCAGACAGACUGUGGAAACCACAUCUCUGCAGAUAAAUGCGCAGAUUCAGGUCACUAGGACAUACUCCUGACACCUGACACGCUGCGUGAGAUUUUUCUUCCCUCUCCCUGCUUCUCCCUCCCUUUUAGUAAUCUAAUCCUUUUAGCAAGAAUGCUAUUUUGUCAUGAAAAUACAAGGAAAUGAGAACAUUUUCUUGGUCUUAAAAUCUCAAACCCUAUUUGCUGAUACCAUCAGAUAAAGCAUUCUACUCAGGCUAGGUCCAAGGCUAUGAUAAGAUUUAUUUUCACAAGAUGGUAACAGUAUCGUAUCCUUUGAGGCUAAUCUUUAGAACAUGAGUACAUUUUUGUUGUUGAGUUGUCCUUUUUCUUCUAUAGUACUGAAAUGUUACAUCUUAUUCUUAAUAAUUAUUUUUCAAUGAAUUCCUUAUAAUUUAAAGAGAAACUUUCCUCAUUGGGCUCAUGUAUUUUACCCACCCAAAAUUGCAAAUAGAAUUUGUACAAUUUCAUGAGCUCUGACACGAAAAAUGUCGUAGGCAAUUCUGUAUAACAACUCAACAGCAGACGCAGAAGUGAAGAGCCAGCUGACAUCCUUGAAACUUCCAUGUGCUUGGGUUUAUGUUUAAAGGGCCAUUCAACAUAACAGAGUACAUUUGAAUAGAAAGGAAGUAAUUUUGAAAUGCUUUAUUCCAUUUACUUAGGGAAUAAUAUAAAUAAUGUUAUAAGAUAAAUUUUGCUCUCUGGUAACCCAAACAUUUUAAACAUUCAUUAUCUAGUCUUUGCUCCAUUUAUUUGAAAUGCAGUGGCAUAUUCAGAAAAUCUGAAAGAAAAAGAUUAAUUGCAAUUAUUUUACCAAUGGUAUUAUGGGAAAUUAUACCAGUUUAUGAAUAAAGGAAGCUAGAUACUUAAAUGCCUCCCUCAGUGUAAGAUGUCAAUAUGUUAUACUUCAGGAUAUACUAAGUAUAUCCUGUGGUUUGGAAAUUUAGAUUAUCAUCAUAGUUUUUUAGUUAUCAAGAGAAAUUACUUUUUAGAAAAUCAACUUUAUUGAGGUGUUAUUUACAUACAAUAAAAUGCAUCUAUUUUAAGCGUCCAUUUAGAUGAAUUAUGACAAAUAUAUACAUCUGUGGAACCGCAGUCACUACAAUCAAGAUAUAGAAUAUUCAGGGGCUGGCCCCGUGGCUGAGAGGUUAAGUUCAUGUACUCCGCUGCGUCGGCCCAGGGUUUCACCGGUUCGGAUCUUGGGCGCGGACAUGGCACCACUCAUCAGGCCACGUUGAGGUGGUGUCCCACAUACCACAACUAGAAGGACCUGCAGCUAAGAUAUACAGC
Molecule: long non-coding RNA, 4389 nt
Filed under: Equus caballus (horse)
Lineage: Eukaryota; Metazoa; Chordata; Mammalia; Perissodactyla; Equidae
Description: lncRNA (ENSECAG00000049895.1)
Source: RNAcentral